RNAcentral lists this non-coding RNA (30 nucleotides) under Mus musculus (house mouse). Lineage: Eukaryota; Metazoa; Chordata; Mammalia; Rodentia; Muridae. The record is from RNAcentral.
GCCUUUGAAGAAGCCCAGACGAUUAUGAAU